This 67-nucleotide transfer RNA is filed under the name Margarya oxytropoides. RNAcentral's name for it is "tRNA-Gly". The record is from RNAcentral. Lineage: Eukaryota; Metazoa; Mollusca; Gastropoda; Architaenioglossa; Viviparidae.
GCCAUAUUAGUAAAACCACUUACGUUCGCCUUCCAAGCGAAAAUUUUAAUUAACUUUAAAUACGGCA